CUCAGGAUGAACGCUGGCGGCGUGCCUAAUACAUGCAAGUCGAGCGAACUGAUUAGAAGCUUGCUUCUAUGACGUUAGCGGCGGACGGGUGAGUAACACGUGGGCAACCUGCCUGUAAGACUGGGAUAACUUCGGGAAACCGAAGCUAAUACCGGAUAGGAUCUUCUCCUUCAUGGGAGAUGAUUGAAAGAUGGUUUCGGCUAUCACUUACAGAUGGGCCCGCGGUGCAUUAGCUAGUUGGUGAGGUAACGGCUCACCAAGGCAACGAUGCAUAGCCGACCUGAGAGGGUGAUCGGCCACACUGGGACUGAGACACGGCCCAGACUCCUACGGGAGGCAGCAGUAGGGAAUCUUCCGCAAUGGACGAAAGUCUGACGGAGCAACGCCGCGUGAGUGAUGAAGGCUUUCGGGUCGUAAAACUCUGUUGUUAGGGAAGAACAAGUACGAGAGUAACUGCUCGUACCUUGACGGUACCUAACCAGAAAGCCACGGCUAACUACGUGCCAGCAGCCGCGGUAAUACGUAGGUGGCAAGCGUUAUCCGGAAUUAUUGGGCGUAAAGCGCGCGCAGGCGGUUUCUUAAGUCUGAUGUGAAAGCCCACGGCUCAACCGUGGAGGGUCAUUGGAAACUGGGGAACUUGAGUGCAGAAGAGAAAAGCGGAAUUCCACGUGUAGCGGUGAAAUGCGUAGAGAUGUGGAGGAACACCAGUGGCGAAGGCGGC
This 721-nucleotide ribosomal RNA is filed under the name Priestia aryabhattai. RNAcentral's name for it is "bacterial SSU rRNA". It matches the Rfam family "Bacterial small subunit ribosomal RNA", at positions 23 to 725 of the family's 1533-position model. The record is from RNAcentral. Lineage: Bacteria; Bacillati; Bacillota; Bacilli; Caryophanales; Bacillaceae.